This 478-nucleotide ribosomal RNA is filed under the name uncultured bacterium. RNAcentral's name for it is "bacterial SSU rRNA". It matches the Rfam family "Bacterial small subunit ribosomal RNA", at positions 28 to 496 of the family's 1533-position model. The record is from RNAcentral.
GAUGAACGCUAGCUACAGGCUUAACACAUGCAAGUCGAGGGGCAGCAUGGUCUCAGCUUGCUAAGGCCGAUGGCGACCGGCGCACGGGUGAGUAACACGUAUCCAACCUGCCGUCUACUCUUGGACAGCCUUCUGAAAGGAAGAUUAAUACAAGAUGGCAUCAUGAGUCCGCAUGUUCACAUGAUUAAAGGUAUUCCGGUAGACGAUGGGGAUGCGUUCCAUUAGAUAGUAGGCGGGGUAACGGCCCACCUAGCCUACGAUGGAUAGGGGUUCUGAGAGGAAGGCCCCCCACAUUGGAACUGAGACACGGUCCAAACUCCUACGGGAGCAGCAGUGAGGAAUAUUGGUCAAUGGGCGAGAGCCUGAACCAGCCAAGUAGCGUGAAGGAUGACUGCCCUAUGGGUUGUAAACUGCUUUUAUAAGGGAAUAAAGUGAGUCUCGUGAGACUUUUUGCAUGUACCUUAUGAAUAAGGACCGG